This is a long non-coding RNA of Neoarius graeffei (lesser salmon catfish), 4179 nucleotides long. RefSeq lists it as uncharacterized. The record is from RefSeq and is a predicted model, not a curated record. The transcript has 3 exons. Lineage: Eukaryota; Metazoa; Chordata; Actinopteri; Siluriformes; Ariidae.
CUCCACCUUUCCCACUGGGACAGUGGAAAUUUUACUCUGUUUAGACAGCACCAUUCUAGCCACUCCCAUUCAUAACUUGGUUCACUAAAAUGUACACUCACCCACUCUCAUACAAAUGGCUUGUUGUAUGUUUUGUUUUUUUCACACUUGUAGGCAAUGAGAGACUUUUUUUUACUUCCAAUAAAAACAUGGUUAAAAACAAGACAUUAAUUGGUCUGUAAAGGUGGAUGAGUUUCACAAGAAGAGUCACAUUAAUACCAGCAGCCGGAGAUGCCAAGGACGCCACACCUCGCUCAAGAGGAACUGUACCACAGAUUUCUCCACUUCAUUCUGGUCUGACUAAAUAAUGAAUAAAUCUUCUGUGGCAGUGGGGGCGUGGUCAAGCGCCGGUCUGUGACAGGAGGGCGGAGUCAGGGAAGGAGAAAGGCUUUGUGCUGGAUUUUAUUUUGCUUGGAGAAGCAGCUUUGGGAACAAAAAGUCGGCAGUUCGAUUCCCUGGACCAGCAGGAAUGGCUGAAGUGUCCGUCUUGCAAGGCACCUAACCACCAGCUGCUCUCCAGGCUGCUCUGGGUAUGUUGUAUGUUGCUCUGGAUAAUGCCAUUGCUAAAUCCCAUUAAUGCAAUGUAAUAUGCUCAGUUUCAUCAGUGUUUCCACAUAUGGGAUUUAGAAUGAGUAACUCUCACUAUAGUUACAGCAUCAAGGUUUCGCAACACUAUGAAGUGCAUAACAUUUAAACAUACUGUACCUACUGCACACACAGCACCCAAAUUGAUCUGUUGAAUCUUAAGCAGCAAGAAACAUUAUACUUAUAAUAACAAAGUGCUGAAACUGUGUCUGAUGGCAGAUUUCACACAAGCAACAUAGAAAUUCAGUAUUUUGGGAUAACAUUACAUCUGUGACGAUAUUUCUGGCCCUCAUUCCAACAAUGAGACCUGCUCUUUACAACCAAAACUAAUGUGAAAUAGACCUGUAUGGAGCAAGACUGGGCAAGAAAGAUGUUCAGGUUUAACACUCAAGUCAUGCAUGUCUUUUUCACUCAUUCCAUCUUUCCAGUUUGAACUGAUUAUCACAUAAUAUUCACUGCUAUAGUUGCAGUAUGAAAUUCUUUGUCUGUGAAGAUUCUCAUCUAGGUCAUAGUAAACUGUGGGUGGUAAAAAGAGCAACUGGACUUGCCUGAAGCUUCUUGAAGACGUUUCACCUCUCAUCCAAAAGGCUGCUUCAGUUCUGUUUGACUAAUAGGGAGUAUCAGGUAUUUAUCCUCUCAUGGAUGAAAAGUAAUCCUAAGGUGUCAUUGAGUCAUCCUGUUGGUGUGGGUCACUGGGGGCUGGGUGUGAAUGGCCUAGAGAGUCGUUGGGGUGAUCAGUGGAUUGUUGGUUCUCUCUGUCCUCCUGUGAGUCACUGAAAACAGCUGGGUUUUGGUGUGCAUUCAGUUGUCUGGGAAGUGUGCCAAGGACUGCAUUGUAGGUGGCUGAUAAAUGAUGUCUUAGACCACCACCUCUGUUCAGUGAUGGUCGUUCCAGGUUGACAAAAAUGGCUUCUUUAACUCCUUGCUCAUACCAACGCUCCUCUCUGGCUAAAAUGCGUAUGUUGCAAUCCCGAAAUGAGUGUCCUUUGUUGUUAAGAUGAAGAUAGACAGCAGAGUCCUGGCCUGAGGAACUGGAUCUCCUGUGCUGAGUCAUGUGCCUGUGAAGUGGUUGUUUUGUUUCCCCAAUAUACGGGUCCGUGCAUUCCUCACUGCACUGAAUUGCAUACACUACAUUGUCCUGUUUGUCUGGCUAUUCUGUCCUUAGGGUGGACCAGUUUCUGCUUCAGGGUGUUACUGGGUCUGAAAUGUACUGGAAUGUUAUGUUUGUAGAAGAACCUCCUGAGUUUCUCAGAUAGACCAGAAAUGUAUGGAAUGACAAUGUUCUUGCAUUUGUUCCUGUUAUCCUCCUUGUCCGUUAUGUUCCUUUUUCUGCUCUUGAAAAAACCCAGUUGGGAUACCCACAGUUCUGAAGUGCUUUCUUGAUGUGAUUCUGCUCCUUCUCUUUUCCCUCUACCAUUGUAGGAAUGUUCUGAGCCCUGUGUUGCAAGGUCCUAAUGACCCCCAAUUUGUGUUCCAGUGGGUGGUGCGAGUCGAAGAGUAGGUACUGGUCUGUGUGUGGGUUUCUGGUAGACCUCGAUGCUAAGGCUUCUGUCUUGUCUAAUGUGUAUAUCACAAUCCAAGAAGGCUAGAUUAUUCCCACUGACAUCCUCCAGAGUGAAAUUGAUGUUGACAUCCACUGCAUUGAUGUGCUUGGAGAAGGCUUCCACCUCAUGGGUUUUGAUUAUAACCCAGGUGUCAUCCACAUAUCUGAACCAAUGGCUGGGAGCAACUCCUGAAAAAGUGGCCAAAGCUUUAUGUUCCGCUUUCUUUCUUACUUGAGCCCAUGGGCGUCCUCACCAUUGAACAGAGGUGGAAAAACACAGGUGCAGAAAGUAAAAACCCUGCCACAUUUUUGCUCCAGCCAAUUCAGUGAACCAGCUGAUCCUAAUUACCACAUCCCCUAAGCCAAGUUGAUGAGCUAAUUGGUGAAAUCACCUGUGUUGAGAGCACAGGCAGAAGGAAAACCUAAGCAGGACUUUUACUUUGUCAAUCCAGUUUUUCCACCUCUGCCAUUGAAUGUGGAUGUGUCCCCUUCACAUUUCAUAAUUCUUCAUUUGCCCCCCACACACACACACACUUAACAUAAAAUAUUAGUUCACCCAGCGCCGUUUCUAUUGCUUCGUGAAAGAACCCAUUCCACUCGAUCGAUAAGAGAAUCCACAGAUCACUGAAAAUCCACUCUGGGUUUUCUGGGCGUUACCUACAACAACUCACCACCCACAAGUGAAGUGAAUCUCAGUGCAAGCAGAGAAAUUUUGGUGCAAGGUGCAGCUGCUCAAAAGUGGAGGAGGUAACGUCAGCCCCCUUGCCACCUCACAAUGUCUAGCUUUUGCUAAAACCUUAUUCUUUUGUUAUAUGCCCUCAAUUAACCCUAGGCCAUGUUAAAUUAAUGUUCAACUAAACAAUGAAAUAAGCUUAGCCUAAUGGGGUAUUCUUGGUUGAUGAUGAAUUGUUUGCAGUAUUUGCUCCCUCCCCAGACACAAUGGACAUAAGGAAAUUCUUUACAAAGAAGCGGAAAGUAAGUCAAAAUUUCCCAACAGGACAGGGUUCUUUUGUCCCAAUGGAAAUGUUAGUGCAGUUAGCUGGCUAGUCAAUGUUAGGAGAUGUAUCAGCUAGCUUAAUGUUAGCUAUAAUUUAAUUCAAACCCAGUAGGUCUACCUUACUGUAAUGCCAAGAAUGAGGUCAAGUCUGCUCUGAUGAUAUUUAUUGAUUCCCUGUUGUGAUUUGAAGAACUUGUUUUGUCUGGUCUUUGCCGGUUUUCUGGAAAGUAACAUGGGAAAUCAGUGUAUGGGGAAGGAAUAGUAGAAAGGAAAGCGAUGGAGAGAGAUGGAUGUUAUUCCAGGUGGAUUGUGAAGGAAAGGGGGAUAAAAGUUAUAAAGUGGUAGAAAUUAUGGUGGCACCAAUGUAAGAAGGAGUUAUAUCUAUAAAUCUAUUUGUUAUACUAAUCUGUAAAUGUUACUGUAGUACCACCAUUGCAUGUAGGUUGACAAAACUGCACUUGUUCAUUGUGUGAAGUUGUCUUUUAUGUGUCAUUGCUUGACAGUGUAAUUUUGUGUUAUGAAGACUGCAUGAUGCCAUGCCAUUUUUGUUAUGAGUAUCGCUAAAUCGGAAAAAAGUAAAAUGCACCCACUAAAGUCACUAUUUGUUGGUGGUUAACAAAAUUGCACCUGUUCAUUGUGUGAAGUUAUUUUUUUGUGUCACCGUUGCUUGACACAGUGUGAUUUUGUGUUAUGAAGUUUGCAUGAUGCCAUGUCAUGCCUGUUCACUGUGUGAAAUUAUGAAUAUUCUUAUUUUUAAACAUACAGUUGAGUGUCACUAUUGCUUGGCACAGUGGCAUGUUGUGUUACAUCUAAAAUUAAAUAAAAAAGGAAACACAAAAUAAAAAGUAAAAUGCACCCAUAAAGCCAUUGUUGGUGAUAAAUUGUGUCACAUUCAUCUCAUUAUCUUCGGCAGAGCAGUGGGUUUAAAAACAGGCUGAUGAAUAUAUGGACUAGUUGAAUGAGGACUUAUUGUUGAGUCUCUAAAAUAGUCAUUGAAUUAAGUGACUUUUGUAGG